GACGAACGCUGGCGGCGUGCCUAAUACAUGCAAGUUGAGCGCUGAAGGUUGGUACUUGUACCGACUGGAUGAGCAGCGAACGGGUGAGUAACGCGUGGGGAAUCUGCCUUUGAGCGGGGGACAACAUUUGGAAACGAAUGCUAAUACCGCAUAAAAACUUUAAACACAAGUUUUAAGUUUGAAAGAUGCAAUUGCAUCACUCAAAGAUGAUCCCGCGUUGUAUUAGCUAGUUGGUGAGGUAAAGGCUCACCAAGGCGAUGAUACAUAGCCGACCUGAGAGGGUGAUCGGCCACAAUGGGACUGAGACACGGCCCAAACUCCUACGGGAGGCAGCAGUAGGGAAUCUUCGGCAAUGGACGAAAGUCUGACCGAGCAACGCCGCGUGAGUGAAGAAGGGUUUCGGAUCGUAAAACUCUGUUGGUAGAGAAGAACGUUGGUGAGAGUGGAAAGCUCAUCAAGUGACGGUAACUACCCAGAAAGGGACGGCUAACUACGUG
RNAcentral lists this ribosomal RNA (497 nucleotides) under uncultured bacterium. RNAcentral's name for it is "partial 16S ribosomal RNA". It matches the Rfam family "Bacterial small subunit ribosomal RNA", at positions 28 to 507 of the family's 1533-position model. The record is from RNAcentral.